GAUUCUGGCUCAGGAUGAACGCUGGCGGCGUGCCCAAUACAUGCAAGUGAAACGGGUAUCUUCGGAUACCAGUCGCGGACGGGUGAGUAAUACAUAGGCAACCUGCCUUUAUGAGGGGGAUAACCGAGGGAAACUUUGGCUAAUACCGCAUGAAGACUCUAAGGCAUCUUAGAGGGAUAAGAGUUGGGAAACAACGCAUGAAGAUGGGCUUAUGGCGCAUUAGCUAGUUGGUGGGAUAGAAGCCCACCAAGGUAAUGAUGCGUAGCCGACCUGAGAGGGUGAACGGCCACAUUGGGACUGAGACACGGCCCAAACUCCUACGGGAGGCAGCAGUAGGGAAUUUUCGGCAAUGGGGGGAACCCUGACCGAGCAACGCCGCGUGAAGGAAAGAAGGUUUUCGGAUUGUAAACUUCUGUUAUAAGGGAAGAACGGAUUGGAUAGGGAAUGAUCUGAUAGUGACGGUACCUUAUUAGAAAGCCACGGCUAACUACGUGCCAGCAGCAGC
Molecule: ribosomal RNA, 505 nt
Filed under: uncultured bacterium
Lineage: Bacteria
Description: bacterial SSU rRNA
Rfam family: Bacterial small subunit ribosomal RNA
Source: RNAcentral